RNAcentral lists this ribosomal RNA (510 nucleotides) under uncultured bacterium. Its description in RNAcentral is "partial 16S ribosomal RNA". It matches the Rfam family "Bacterial small subunit ribosomal RNA", at positions 28 to 523 of the family's 1533-position model. The record is from RNAcentral.
GACGAACGCUGGCGGCGUGCCUAAUACAUGCAAGUCGAGCGAAUGACGAGAAGCUUGCUUCUCUGAUUUAGCGGCGGACGGGUGAGUAACACGUGGGCAACCUGCCCUACAGAUCGGGAUAACUCAGGGAAACCUGGGCUAAUACCGGAUAAUCCUUCGAAUCACAUGUUUUGAAGUUGAAAGGCGCUUCGGCGUCACUGUAGGAUGGGCCCGCGGUGCAUUAGCUAGUUGGUGGGGUAACGGCCUACCAAGGCAACGAUGCAUAGCCGACCUGGGAGGGUGAUCGGCCACAUUGGGACUGAGACACGGCCCAAACUCCUACGGGAGGCAGCAGUAGGGAAUCUUCCACAAUGGACGAAAGUCUGAUGGAGCAACGCCGCGUGAAUGAUGAAGGUUUUCGGAUCGUAAAACUCUGUUGUAAGGGAAGAACAAGUACGUUAGGAAAUGAACGUACCUUGACGGUACCUUAUUAGAAAGCCACGGCUAACUACGUGCCAGCCGCCGCGGUAA